Molecule: RNA transcript, 3228 nt
Organism: Triticum aestivum (bread wheat)
Lineage: Eukaryota; Viridiplantae; Streptophyta; Magnoliopsida; Poales; Poaceae
Exons: 3
Source: RefSeq, a predicted model, not a curated record
CGUGCUUGAGAUCUUUCAGCGUCCAAUCCGUGUGCCCCUCACGCACUGCACCAUUCGUCACUAUCACACCAAAUCCACCGCGGUUCCUCCGCAGUCGCCUGCAACCCUAUCCCCUUACCGCCAAACCCCGCAGCCACCGCAAGCCCGCAACCGCCCUCCUCCUCCAUCCUCUCGCGCUCCCCUCCCACAUCUCAUCCACCCCUCUUCAUCUCGGACCGGAUCAGAGACGUGUGGGCGCGGAGGCGAGCUUCUCCGGCGGCGGCGACCUGCAGGCAAAGGGCGACGGCAGCGGCGCUGGAUUUGAUGCAGCGCCAUGGAUCGCCCCCUGCUGAGAGAUGAGGAUGCUGGACUGCCAUCAUUCCUCCUUCACUGUGCGGUGCCUCCUGCGAGUGUCACCUCGUCCCACCGGCUUCCAGCGCCGUGGAUCCGCCGGGAUGGAGGGCAACAAGUGAGAGGGAGCAGGAGAAGAGGUGAAUCGAGGGAGUGAAAGGAGCUCACACGGGAAGGGGCGCCUCCUCCCAUGACGGCACGAUCAGCGGCUCUUGCUCGACCCCAUGAUACACAACACAGUGGUUGUUCUUGAGCUCCAAGGCUGGCCUUAGGUUAGCAAUUCGGCAUCGGCACACUUCGAAUCUAUACCCCAGGUGAAUACCUUGUCUAUUUGGUUUUUCUUCAUGAAUGCUAAUAACUUGUAUCGUUUCUACACUGAUAUAUGUACUCAUAUCUCUUUUGAAUCUGUUUAAAUAAGCUGCAACUUAUGUCCGAGAGGCUUGGUUAAUGCAGAGAUCAUAGAAGCUUAAUGCUGCAAAUUAGGUGUAGUACAAAUAUGUCUUCUAAUGUUCACAAGCACUCACUUAUAUCUUUAUCAAUGUACUUUAAAUUCGAAUUGUCUGUAUAUACACACCUUAAAAUUAAGAAACUUUGGUCGUGCAUAGAGAGUUGGGUCAGGGAAGAAAUCAAAGCAGUGACGGCUCUGCACUAGCUGUGCAGGGAUCGAAAGCCUAUAGGUAUAGCAAUAAAUUCCCCUUUGAUGCUCAAGUUAAAUUUCUUUGUCGAAGAUAUGGUUGGAAGUUAUGUUUUUGAUUUGAUUCUUUAAACUAUAGGCUAUUUUGCGUAUUAAUUAUUUAUAUUUUCUUACUGCACAUGCCUAAAUCUCAUGUAAGACUGAACGGUACUCUGCCAUGGUUUUUAAUCUCUUUAUGUUUUCCUACUGCACUAGCCUAAAUCGAGCUAAACCGGCACAAACUGCAGACGGCAUUCCUCGAAGUUCUACCUACAUCUACAACUGCACAAAAGCUUGGAUCUUUGUAGUGUGUCUCCUCAUCAGUAGAGAUUACAUAGUAGGUAGUAGGGACACCAUAAUAUCCUAUUUUCUUACUUCAGUAUUUUCUUUUAGAAUAUAUAAGUAUAUUUCAGUAAUACGUGUCUUGUUUUACUUUGUCCGCGGUAACUGUGGAUGUAUUCUCGGCUUUACUGUCAGUAAAAAGAAGGCAUACAAAACAUUAAGUUUCUGCUCUGGUUGAAUGCCUCAUUUAAUCGUCGCAUAUUUAUUUCAAGUUACUCAAUUCUCAUCGAGCUUUCCUUAUGCUUUCCAUUGAUAAAUAAGAAAUUUAAUAUGCAAUAUUUUUAAUAUGUGAGAAGGCGAGAGAAGAAUAAGAGGGGUUGUCAGGUCGGACUAUUUUUGCGUGUCUGACCAGAGAUGGCUGGAUCCGUCAGCCGCUUUUCCAAACAGUGCAGUGCAGAUUCGCUGACUGGAGCAACAUCUAAACGUUCGCUACUCUAGCUUCUUUUUACAUUUCUUAGUAUCAACAAAUAAGUUGGUCACAUUAUAUACUUAAAGAUUACAGCAGUCAGCAGGUACAAAAUUCUUCGCUGACUAACAUAAUUAGGUAUGCCGCUCAUCUAUGUUUUAGAAAUAGAUAAUGGUUAAUUUUUCCAAUGUUGGCCCACCUGGUGAAUUGAGUUGUGUCUAUGAAGGGUCAGUACAGUAGUUGCUUUAAAAAAAGAGUAACGGUUUGGUUGCCAGAAUGGCGGUACUGAAAAAUCGUCUGUAAUGGUCAUCUGUGUUGUCGAGUUGGAACUUGAUUCUUUUGAAGCUGGAGUAGCUAGGUUGUCUACAUACAUGCUGCCCACUAAAUUCAGAUUUCAGUAUACUCUUUAGAAUAGGAUGGAUCACUGUGCUGUCUUCAGAAUUAGAGCUAGAGAGAAGGGAAGAGUUGCCACCAUAGCAUUUAUUUGUGACCGCAUGGUCCCAUUGUAGAUUUUCUUGAAGUACAAUAGCCUCUUCUUCUUGGAAGAAAUAGAUUGUUGUCUGUACCUCAGGUCUAACAGGGCUUGUAAGUUAGCCGGUGUACUAAUUUUGACGCUUCUUGGUCGAUGUUUCGGAAGAAAUGGGCUUUUGUAUAUUCGCACAAGCUUCCUUCGUCUAUGUUAUUUUCUCUCUUUAGUGUUGCUUUGAUGUUCCUUUUUCACUGUUCGAUGUUCUGCCUUGGGUGGCCUCUUUCAUGGUUACAGCUCGAUAUGGCUAUCUAUGUAUACAUAUGUAGGUUUUGUUUGAACUGUACUCAAAUCGUGUAGAUGUUUCCAUAUUCUUGCCUUCCUCUUUUUAACUCGUGAGAUUGUUAGAUAGUUGAAUAUCAUAGGUCUAUUGGCAUUCUGUUUUUGCAGUUUGAAAUGAGUAAUUGGUCCAUUGAUAUUAAACUUCACAAUAGGUAGUGGCAGAUAUGCUGGACAUCUAUUUUCUGGUGCAGGAAUGACACUAUUGCCCAAGUCCUCAACACAUAUAUUUUUUAUUAACGGAGAGGAUUAUUCACCUUUGCUGCUGCAGGCGUUCAAGACCUAGCGGGGCUGGGCCAACCGGUCCUUCAUGUUCAAGAUAUGGCCCUGAUGAGCCCUAACAACCCGUGCUACCGGCCGGGCACCUUCUUCCUGAGCCGGGUCCGGAACCAGACCAACAGGGACACACUGAGCGAGUACUUGUGGCAUGCUGUCAAGUCGGAGGGGUGCAACCAGGCAGCUGCCGUGUGUGUCCAGGUUCAUAUAGUCAAGGUGUUCGCUCAUCGCCCAGUACGAGUGGAAACGGGCGACAUGGUGACAUUGCUGCAAAACAACGAGGAAGGAACAUAUGGUUGACACUGAUGCAUGUAAUGGGUUAUACAAUAUAACUUAAUUUUGAAUGUGUCAUGUCCUAUACGUAUAUGUUAUAAUUGAGCCUUUUGUCAGCCUCUA